RNAcentral lists this ribosomal RNA (253 nucleotides) under uncultured bacterium. RNAcentral's name for it is "partial 16S ribosomal RNA". It matches the Rfam family "Bacterial small subunit ribosomal RNA", at positions 524 to 776 of the family's 1533-position model. The record is from RNAcentral.
UACGGGGGGGGCAAGCGUUGUUCGGAAUUACUGGGCGUAAAGGGCUCGUAGGCGGCCAACUAAGUCAGACGUGAAAUCCCUCGGCUUAACCGGGGAACUGCGUCUGAUACUGGAUGGCUUGAAUCCGGGAGAGGGAUGCGGAAUUCCAGGUGUAGCGGUGAAAUGCGUAGAUAUCGAGAGGAACACCUGCGGCGAAGGCGGGUAGCUGGGCCGACACUGACGCUGAGGCGCGAAAGCCAGGGGAGCGAACGGG